CAGAUGCUGGUGAACCUUAGAGGUUGGGAGAGUAAAAAGUCAUCAUGUCUGUACCAGAGUCUGAGGAUGCCUUUUCAGAUGUUAAGCCUUACUUCACACCUGAGGAAUGGACAAAGAUCAGCAAUUAUGAAAGAAUCUGUAUCAAGAAUGUCAAAGAAAACUAUGAGAUCAUGUUGAAAGCUGGAUUACAGGCCUGUCUACCCAUGUUCAUGCAACGAGAGAAUGAAAUAAUGGAUUCAGGAUGGAUACAGAUCAAAGAAGAAAUCAAGAAUGAGGAAGAAGAGAGUGAUAUCAAGAGUGAAGAAGGAUCUCUCGAUGUGCUGGUUGAGAAUCAAGAAAUUCAAGAACAAGAUCAGACAGAGGAGCAACCAUCAUAUGAAGAGAGUUUUCAACCACAUACUAUAAAAAUAGAAGCUCUUUCUGAUGACGAUGAUGAUUAUUUUUUGAAUGAUCUUCACAGUGGAGAAGAGUGGAACAGUGAUAUUCUCAAAUUGAAGGACUUGGGGAAAGCCAUCCAAUCACAGAGCAGUCUGUCUGAUCAGGAAAAUCAGUCAGGUGAUCUCAACACUCAGUCAUGUGAUCAGAAGUCAGAACAAUCAUCGGCAGAAGUAGCAGCAGGAGGCAACCAGACUCCUAAGCGAUCAGGUGAUCUCAACACUCAGUCAUGUGAUCAGAAGUCAGAACAAUCAUCGGCAGAAGUAGCAGCAGGAGGCAACCAGACUCCUAAGCAAUCAGGUGAUCUCAACACUCAGUCAUGUGAUCAGAAGUCAGAACAAUCAUCGGCAGAAGUAGCAGCAGGAGGCAACCAGACUCCUAAGCAAUCAGGUGAUCUCAACACUCAGUCAUGUGAUCAGAAGUCAGAACAAUCAUCGGCAGAAGUAGCAGCAGGAGGCAACCAGACUCCUAAGCAAUCAGGUGAUCUCAACACUCAGUCAUGUGAUCAAAAGUCAGAACAAUCAUUGGCAGAAGUAGCAGCAGGAGGCAACCAGACUCCUAAGCGAUCAGGUGAUCUCAACACUCAGUCAUGUGACCUCAACACUCAGUCAUGUGACCUCAACACUCAGUCACAUGAUCUCAGCAAUCAGUCAUGUGCUCAAAAGUCUGAUCAAGCCUUGACAGAAAUAGCUCCAGGUAGUCUGAUUUCUAAGGAAUCACGUGAUCUCAACAAUCAGUCAUGUGAUCUCAACAGUCUAUCAGGUGAUCCUGACAUUCAGUCAUGUGAUCAGAGUUCAGAGCAAACCUUGACAAAAGUAGGUCCAGCAAGCAACCAGAUUCCUGAGAAACCUCAAUCUUGUCUGGAAGUUGGCGGGCAAUUUGACGGGCAAGCUGAUAGAAAGUCUCAUUCUCUCUUGGGUGCAGAUGAGCUCAGCGAUAUUCCAUUUUCUACGAAAGAAGAGCCUGAAGCAGAUCAGGCUGAACAUGAUACUGGCAAUGACGAUGAUCCAGAGAAACUAUGGUGUAUAUGCAGACAGCCUUAUGACGAAAAGUUCAUGAUAUGCUGUGAUAAAUGUGAAGAUUGGUUUCAUGGCAAAUGUGUAAACGUCAAGAAGAAAGAAGGAAAGCGCAUGGAAAGGGAGAAUAUUAGCUGGAUGUGUCCAAAGUGUACUGAUUCUGGAAUCUAUAGAUGCAAGUAUUGUGGAUCACUCUAUGCCAUUCCUCUUGUCUUAGCAAGGCAUCUCAAGUACAAACAUGGGUUGUCCGGCAUUUUCCUAUUAGAAGUUGGAUCAGGGGGAGACAUUCUAAAAUAUAGUGGAGCAAUAAAGGAAACCUCUGACAAUAUUAAUGAACAUGAGGUUGAUGACAUCAGAACUUUGAAAUCAGAAACACCAAACCAGAAUAGGCCACAGACUACAUCAUAUGAAUUAUCGUACCUUGUAAGACGCAAGCAAGCCCGAAGACGUAACAAGCCCUAUAAAGUGAACAUAUGCAGCAAGGCUUUUAGUCAUGGUAAGAGGCUCACAAAACACAAACGAAUCCAUCGGGGCAAAAAACCUUAUCAUAAGGCAUCUAGUAAUAACAGUUCUUCAAAAGGUCAUAAAAGAAUUAAAACACAAGAAAAGCCUUAUGCCUGUGAUGAAUGUGGUAAGGCAUUUUGUGAAAAAAGUUAUCUCACAAUCCAUAAACGAACUCACACUGGUGAAAAACCUUAUGCAUGCAAUGAAUGUGGUAAGACAUUUAUUAGCCAAAGACAUCUCACAAUCCAUAAACGAACUCACACUGAUGAAAAACCUUAUGUCUGUGAUGAAUGUGGUAAGACAUUUAAAGCUAAAAUUAGUCUCACAGUCCAUAAACGAACUCACACAGGUGAAAAGCCUUAUGAAUGUGAUCAAUGUGGUAAGACAUUUAGGAAUAGAGGUUCUUUAAAAUAUCAUAAAAUAAUCCAUUCGGAGAAGAAGCCCUAUGAAUGUGACCAAUGUGGGAAGGCCUUUAUUUCUGGUACUGCAUUUAAAAUACACACUAGAAUCCACACAGGUGAAAGGCCUUAUGAAUGUGAAGAAUGUGGUGAGACAUUUAUUGACCAUCCCAAGUUAAAAAGGCAUAAACAGAUCCAUACAGGUGAGAAGCCAUAUGUUUGUGAUCAGUGUGACAAAGCAUAUCGUUGUAAAUGGGUUCUAAAAGAUCAUAAACAAAUCCAUACAGGUGAGAAGCCCUUUAUUUGUGAUCAGUGUGGUAAGGCCUUUAGUAGAAAACAAAGUCUCAAACAGCAUAAACUAACCCAUAUGGAUGAAAAGCCUUAUGUAUGUGAUCAGUGUGGUAAAGCCUUUCGUUGUGGUACUGCAUUUACAAAACACACUAGAAUCCACACAGGUGAAAGGCCUUUUGAAUGUGAAGAAUGUGAUAAGGCAUUUAUUGACAGUAAAACUUUAAAAAGGCAUAAACAGAUCCAUACAGAUGAGAUGCCAUAUAUUUGUGAUCAGUGUGGUAAGGAAUUUCGUAGAAAACAGGCUUUACAAACUCACAAACUUAUCCACACAGGUGAGACACCCUACACAUGUGAUCAGUGUGACAAAGCAUUUCGUUGUAAAUGGUUUCUAAAAAAACAUAAACAAAUCCAUACAGGUGAGAAGUUUCUUUGUGAUCAGUGUGGUAAGGCCUUCAAUCAAAAAAGAAAUCUCAAAAAACAUUUACUAACCCAUACGGAUGAAAAGCCUUAUGUAUGUGAUGAUUGUGGUAAAGCAUUUUCUAUUAUACAUUAUUUGAGGAGUCAUAAACGAAUCCAUGUCAAUGAGAAGCCUUACAAAUGUGAUGAUUGUGGUAAGACCUUUGAUUUUCAAAGAGAAUUGUACAUACAUUAUAGAAUCCAUACAGGUGAGAAGCCAUACAUUUGUUAGAAAUGAGGUAAGGGAUUUAGUGUUAUUGGUUAUCUAUCUAAACAUCUGAAACAAGUCCAUAAAGGUGAGGAGCCUUGAUUUGGUAAGGCAUUUAAUAAAAAUGUUGCUCUGUAACAAAUCCACACAGGUGAGACACCCUACACAUGUGAUCAGUGUGACAAAGCAUUUCAUUGUAAAUGGUUUCUAAAAAAACAUAAACAAAUCCAUACGGGUGAGAAGUUUCUUUGUGAUCAGUGUGGUAAGGCCUUCAAUCAAAAAAGAAAUCUCAAAAAACAUUUACUAACCCAUACGGAUAAAAAGCCUUAUGUAUGUGAUCAGUGUGGUAAAGCAUUUUCUAUUAUACGUUAUUUGACGAGUCAUAAACGAAUCCAUGUCAAUGAGAAGCCUUACAAAUGUGAUGAUUGUGGUAAGACCUUUGAUUUUCAAAGAGAAUUGAAAAUACAUUAUAGAAUCCAUACAGGUGAGAAGCCAUACAUUUGUUAGAAAUGAGGUAAGGGAUUUAGUGUUAUUGGUUAUCUAUCUAAACAUCUGAAACAAGUCCAUAAAGGUGAGGAGCCUUGAUUUGGUAAGGCAUUUAAUAAAAAUGUUGCUCUGUAACAAAUCCACACAGGUGAGAAGCCAUACAUUUAUGAUCAGUGUGGUAAGGCAUUUAGUCAAAUUACUGCUGUAACAACUCAUGAAACGAAUCCAUAUAGGUGGAAAGCCUCAAAUUUGUAAGGCAUUUAAUGAAACUAGUGCUCUCUUUUAAUACCAAUUCAUUAUUACUCAUUUAUGGCCAGUAUGGAAAAAAACAAACCCAUGCCCAUUGCACCACCCAUUGGAUAUGCUCUCACUUUGGGGACUUUUUUGCUUGCGGAUAUAUCACAAAUCUUGUAAUAAUUAUUGGUGUUACUGUUGUGUGAUUUCUGUAGAGAGAAUGAAUCCCAUAUACUAUUCAUUCCAUUGAAGAUGAAAGGGUAAUACAAUUUCUGUAUAGAAUUUUGAAUUGAAAGUAUGGGAUGUUAUAGGGGCGGAUCCAGCCUCCGCCAAUAGGGGAGGGGGCCUCAAAAAAUUUCACCAAUAUUUUCGAUGUUCGGCCACUCAAAGUUUAUUUUUGGUUUUUUGUCUCACCUGCAUAGCAGAGUGAGACUAUAGGCGCCGCUUUUCCGACGGCGACGGCGGCGGCGGCGGCGGCGGCGGCGGCGGCGGCGGCGGCGGCGACGGCGGCGUCAACACCAAAUCUUAACCUGAGGUUAAGUUUUUGAAAUGACAGCAUAACUUAGAAAGUAUAUGGACCUAGUUCAUGAAACUUGGCCAUAAGGUUAAUCAAGUAUUACUGAACAUCCUGCCUGAGUUUCAUGUCACAUGACCAAGGUCAAAGGUCAUUUAGGGUCAAUGAACUUAGACCAUGUUGGGGGAAUCAACAUCAAAAUCUUAACCUAAGGUUAAGUUUUUGAAAUGUCAUCAUAACUUAGAAAAUAUAUGGACCUAGUUCAUGAAACUUAUACAUAAGGUUAAUCAAGUAUCACUGAACAUCCUGCAUGAGUUUCACAUCACAUGACCAAGGUCAAAGGUCAUUUAGGGUCAAUGAACUUUGGCCGAAUUGGGGGUAUCUGUUGAAUUACCAUCAUAACUUUGAAAGUUUAUGGAUCUGAUUCAUGAAACUUGGACAUAAUAGUAAUCAAGUAUUACUGAACAUCCUGUGCAAGUUUCAGGUCACAUGAUCAAGGUCAAAGGUCAUUUAGGGUCAAUGAACUUUGGCCAAAUUGGGGUAUUUGUUGAAUUACAGCCAUAAAUUUGAAAGUGUGUUGGUCUAGUUCAUAAAACUUGGACAUAAUAGUAAUCAAGUAUCACUGAACAUCCUGUGCGAGUUUCAGGUCACAUGAUCAAGGUCAAAGGUCAUGUAAGGUCAAAGAACUUUGGCCACGUUGGGGGUAUUUGUUGAAUUGCCAUCAUAUCUCUAUAAGUGUAUUGGUCUAGUUCAUAAAACAUGGAAAUAAGAGUAACCAAGUAUCACUGAACAUCUUGUGCGAGUUAUAGUAGUUUUCAAAAUCAGCACUGCUGCUAUAUUGAAUCGCGUGAUGCAGGUGAGACGGCCAGAGGCAUUCCACUUGUUUUAAGGGGUUGCCCCGGUGUUGUAAUGAGCCAAAAAUCUUGAGGGGCUUGAUAUGGCGUAUUAAGUAAAAUUAAUAAGAAGUUACGAGCGAGCAAAAAUUUUGACAUUUUUUAAAAUCCAAGUUUGUGAUAGAUUUUGACAUAAUAUUUGAAAAAUAAAUUGCAUUUCACCAUUAUCCCUUUCCUUUCUCUUUUUUUUUCUUGAUCGUGAUUUUUUUUUUGGGGGGAGGCAAAAUGCCAAUGUUCUAACAGUAAUUUCUUAGCUUUAUUCUUAUAAGCAAAAUAAUUGUGUAACAAUUUCCUUAGCCCUAAUUAAAUAGUGUGAGCGCGAAGUGCAAGCUAAACAAUUUUGAAAUUUCAUGUAUUUUAUCUUGAAAAUUGAACAUUCUGGGCAAUGUUUGUGAACAUGAACAAGAUGCGUUUGUAACUAUCAUGAAUGUUUUCUUUUGUGAAUAAUUAUUCAAUAGCUAUUUUCAAAGUCAGCGCUGCUGCUAUGUAUCGAAUCUCGUAAUGCAGGCGAGACUGCCAGAGGCAUUCCACUUUUUAUUUUAAGUUAUAAUAAUACAAUAAAGAACAUAAAAUUAUGCAAAAUCAGUCAUGAAAAUUGGUCCUUAAAUUUCAAAUCAAGGCAUUUAUACUGCACAAAAAUGCUUGAUGAUAUGUUUCUAAGCCACUAAAAAUGUAAAUAUAUGUUGAAUUUAGGCACAGAACAGGAAAUGAUGUCCACUUUUGUUAGUCUUCCAAUUUUCCAAUAGAAAGUCUUGUUGUAAGGAAUAAAUUACUAUGAAACAUUUUCAAACACAUGACAGAUCAGUGCUACAUAAUACAAAUGAUGCACAGAUGUGAAUGCAUCAGUGGGUUUUGUGAGUAAGAGGUACGUGUAAGUGUCUGUAUUUACGUGUAACUAUUUGUUGAGUUUUCAUUGUUAUUGCAUGCUCACUAUAGUCAUAACGAUGCACAAUCAAACCUGUGUAUCAUUUGUUGUAUAGAAUGGUGGAAUUUUUUUAUGGAAAGUCAAUUUUUCUUACAAUGUCCAUGUGUGGGAUUACAUAUAUAUGCCUAAAAAGACUAUUCAUUCAUUGUUUGAUUAAAAAGGUUGUAUCUAAGUAUGAAUAUAAUAAUGUUAAUGGUAUUUGAAUUAAAAAGUGCCAACAAACUCCUCCAGUAGGGGUGUAUUAAAUUAUAAGCAACAAGGUUUGGCUGAUAAUUGAAAGAACUUUAUUAUUCUAUCUCCAUGUACAGUAAAUAGGUUGUUAUAAACAUUCUGAAAAUCAAACAAAAUAUAUGAUUGAAUUGAUUCUUUGUGGAAUUGUGAUCAAAUAAAUAGUAAAGGAAAAUCA
Molecule: RNA transcript, 6766 nt
Organism: Lytechinus pictus (painted urchin)
Lineage: Eukaryota; Metazoa; Echinodermata; Echinoidea; Temnopleuroida; Toxopneustidae
Gene name: zinc finger protein 107-like
Exons: 9
Source: RefSeq, a predicted model, not a curated record